GGCUGGUCCGAAGGUAGUGAGUUAUCUCACUUGAUUGAUUGUUCACAGUCAGUUACAGAUUAAACUCCUUGUUCUACUACUUUCCCUCCUUCUCACUACUAUACUUGACUAGUCAAAA
RNAcentral lists this Y RNA (118 nucleotides) under Propithecus coquereli (Coquerel's sifaka). RNAcentral's name for it is "Y RNA (ENSPCOG00000003406.1)". It matches the Rfam family "Y RNA". From Rfam's summary of the family: Y RNAs are components of the Ro ribonucleoprotein particle (Ro RNP), in association with Ro60 and La proteins. The Y RNAs and Ro60 and La proteins are well conserved, but the function of the Ro RNP is not known. In humans the RNA component can be one of four small RNAs -- hY1, hY3, hY4 and hY5. Lineage: Eukaryota; Metazoa; Chordata; Mammalia; Primates; Indriidae. The record is from Rfam by way of RNAcentral.